AGUGAACGCUGGCGGUAGGCCUAACACAUGCAAGUCGAACGGCAGCACAGGAGAGCUUGCUCUCUAGGUGGCGAGUGGCGGACGGGUGAGGAAUACAUCGGAAUCUGCCCAGUCGUGGGGGAUAACGUAGGGAAACUUACGCUAAUACCGCAUACGACCUUCGGGUGAAAGAGGGGGAUCGCAAGACCUCUCGCGAUUGGAUGAGCCGAUGUCGGAUUAGCUAGUUAGCGGGGUAAUGGCCCACCAAGGCGACGAUCCGUAGCUGGUCUGAGAGGAUGAUCAGCCACACUGGAACUGAGACACGGUCCAGACUCCUACGGGAGGCAGCAGUGGGGAAUAUUGGACAAUGGGCGCAAGCCUGAUCCAGCCAUACCGCGUGGGUGAAGAAGGCCUUCGGGUUGUAAAGCCCUUUUAUUGGGAAAGAAAUCUUUCAGGCUAAUACCCUGGGAGGAUGACAGUACCCAAAGAAUAAGCACCGGCUAACUUCGUG
This 490-nucleotide ribosomal RNA is filed under the name uncultured bacterium. Its description in RNAcentral is "partial 16S ribosomal RNA". It matches the Rfam family "Bacterial small subunit ribosomal RNA", at positions 29 to 507 of the family's 1533-position model. The record is from RNAcentral.